Long non-coding RNA from Eriocheir sinensis (Chinese mitten crab), 629 nucleotides. RefSeq lists it as uncharacterized. The record is from RefSeq and is a predicted model, not a curated record. Lineage: Eukaryota; Metazoa; Arthropoda; Malacostraca; Decapoda; Varunidae. The transcript is spliced from 3 exons.
UUACCGCGCCAUAACCGAGUCAUCUGCCCCAAUGAGCACAUCUACGGGCCGGAGAACCAGCGCAGAAAAGGAGUAAGUUUAAUUGGUCGCCAGAUGAAACGGUCUUCUUACAUCAAAUUCAAGAAAAAAUACGUAUAAUCAGAGGGUGUUAUGGGAAGAGUAUCACCCCUGAGGAUAAGAAGAGAGCGUGGACUGAAGUGGCAGAAGCUGUAACAAGUGCCUUCCCUGGGAGUGGACCCCGUACGCAGGAUGACUGUGAGAGGCGUUGGUACAACGUACAACAAAAAUCAAAGCCUCGCAUUGCCAAGUGCAAGAAUGAGCAGCGGCAGACUGAUACACACUUUAUCAGUAUUGCUAGAGACCAUCCCAGCACAUUGUUCAUUACUUGUGGAAAAGAUACCAUUAGCUGCUCCGGCAACAGCCACUGCUUCAAUAUCUGCUGGCCCUAUGACACCAGCCACUCCUUCAUCAUCUGCUGGCCCUAUGACACCUGCCACUGUUUCAUCAUCUGCUGGCCCUAUGACACCUGCCACUGCUUCAUCAUCUGCUGGCCCUAUGACACCAGCCACUGCUUCAUCAUCUGCUGGCCCAAUGACACCUGCCACUGCUUCAUCAUCUGCUGGCCCUAU